This 253-nucleotide ribosomal RNA is filed under the name uncultured bacterium. RNAcentral describes it as "partial 16S ribosomal RNA". It matches the Rfam family "Bacterial small subunit ribosomal RNA", at positions 524 to 776 of the family's 1533-position model. The record is from RNAcentral.
GACAGAGGGUGCGAACGUUGUUCGGAAUUACUGGGCGUAAAGCGCGUGUAGGCUGUUCGGAAAGUCGGGUGUGAAAGCCCUGGGCUCAACCUAGGAAGUGCACUCGAAACUCCCGAACUGGAGUCCCGGAGAGGAAGGCGGAAUUCUCGGUGUAGAGGUGAAAUUCGUAGAUAUCGAGAGGAACAUCGGUGGCGAAGGCGGCCUUCUGGACGGUGACUGACGCUGAGACGCGAAAGCGCGGGGAGCAAACAGG